CCUACGGGAGGCAGCAGUGAGGAAUAUUGGUCAAUGGGCGCGAGCCUGAACCAGCCAAGUCGCGUGAGGGAGGACGGCCCUAUGGGUUGUAAACCUCUUUUGUCAGGGAGCAAUGGGCGUCACGUGUGGCGCCACUGAGAGUACCCGGAGAAAAAGCAUCGGCUAACUCCGUGCCAGCAGCCGCGGUAAUACGGAGGGUGCUAGCGGUAUCCGGAUUUAUUGGGUGUAAAGGGUGCGUAGGCGGAAAGUUAAGUCAGGGGUAAAAUUGAGGGGCUCAACCCCUCCCCGCCAUUGAAACUGGCGUUCUUGAGUGGGAGAGAAGUAUGCGGAAUGCGUGGUGUAGCGGUGAAAUGCAUAGAUAUCACGCAGAACCCCGAUUGCGAAGGCAGCAUGCCGGCUUCCGACUGACGCUGAAGCACGAAAGCGUGGGGAUCGAACAGGAUUAGAUACCCGUGUAGUC
RNAcentral lists this ribosomal RNA (460 nucleotides) under uncultured bacterium. Its description in RNAcentral is "partial 16S ribosomal RNA". It matches the Rfam family "Bacterial small subunit ribosomal RNA", at positions 338 to 795 of the family's 1533-position model. The record is from RNAcentral.